Molecule: long non-coding RNA, 485 nt
Filed under: Marmota monax (woodchuck)
Lineage: Eukaryota; Metazoa; Chordata; Mammalia; Rodentia; Sciuridae
Source: RNAcentral
CAUAUUUCCAACAAUCUUAUUCUACUAACAGAUUGAGAGAUAGCUUUUUGUCUGCCUAUGAAACUACACACAUAAUUUUCUAAAAUUAGAUUUGCUACUGUUCUAUGUAUUGACCCAUUAGUGGACAUAUAGUUAUUUUAAAUUCCUUACUGUUUUUCAACAGAAGUAAAUUGUAUGUGUAUCAGUAUAUUAGGGUUCUCAAGAAGGACAGAACCAAUAGGACAGAUAUAUGAGAGGAUAAUUAUUACAGUAAUUGACUCUUGUUAUUAUGAGGCUUGAGACGUUUGACAAUAGGUCAUCUGCAGGCUGGAGAACCAUGGGGACUAUUAGCAUGGCUAAGUUCAAGUCCAAAGGCCUCAGAAUCAGGGAAGUUAAUGGUAUAACUCUCAGUGUUAGGCUAAAGGCUUAAGAAACUAGAGGGUCACUGGUGUGAGUCUUGAAGGGGAAAGCACAGAGAACUGGGAGUUCUGAAGUUAAAGUGUAGG